CCUAAGCAUUAGUGGAGGACCUGGUCCAAGAAUGGAAAGCAUUUCCACAUUUAGCACCACGUGGGACAAAGGUGACUAAAGGAGAGUGAAGUAGAUGAUCCAUUGAACAGAAGGAAACCAGGUUGUCAAAGGAAGGGCGCUGGAAUCAACUACAGGAAGUGGAGUCCCAGGAGCCAGAAAAAGCAGCUCAGGGAGAUGGGAUUAAAGGAAGCCAGCUGGCUCGCUCAGUGACAUCCGAUCACUCUCUAAAGACGACUCUUCCCCAGGCUCAGCAUUUUCCUCAAGACAGGAGCCGUGAAUUCUCUU
Mesocricetus auratus (golden hamster) is the source of this 306-nucleotide long non-coding RNA. RefSeq lists it as uncharacterized. NCBI's taxonomy places the organism in Eukaryota, Metazoa, Chordata, Mammalia, Rodentia, Cricetidae. The record is from RefSeq and is a predicted model, not a curated record. The transcript has 3 exons.